Molecule: long non-coding RNA, 9997 nt
Filed under: Homo sapiens (human)
Lineage: Eukaryota; Metazoa; Chordata; Mammalia; Primates; Hominidae
Description: HSALNT0335178
Source: RNAcentral
UCCAUUUUAUUAUUCAGACAUGUAUAUAUGUGUAUAUUUCUGUUUCAGAAAGAUUUAGUGACAAUAGAUUUUUUGAGAAUGGGAGCCAAUUUGAUGUUAAAUAAAAAAAUAAGAUCUACCUCAUGUUUAAAGCACUCUGCAAAUGUUACAGAAUAUUUUAAGAUCUUAUCUGAAUUAUUUCUGUCAGUAAAUGAAGGAAGAAGCUACUUCAAAUUCCCCCAGACAUUUCAUUUCUUUCAUCAAACAUAUCUUCAUACAUGUGCCCUAAUGUAUAUUAAAAAUUGCCAAGUAGAAAAUUGCAGUCACAAACUCAUUUUGAUUUUUUAUAGUUAUCUUUUCCAAAUGUUUGUAUACAAGACAUCACUAUACACUGCUGAGAUAAAUGCAUACAAGAAAAAAUGCAUAAAAAAUAAAUAAAAGCUUAACAUAAACUGGAAGAAGUUGGAUUCAUAUAGAUAAGGAGGUCACUAUUAGAUAAUACUCUAUGAGUAUCUGAGACUUUAACACUGCAUUAUUGAAUAGUUAAAACUGAUGGUUUUAUCUUUAUUCUACAUGUAUGAGAUGUAAACUGUGAAUGUCACUGAUGUUUAUGCUAUCUAAGGAGCUGCUGUCUUAUCUUUUGUUGGUUCUUAGCUCUAUAUUUUGAGAGGUCUCAUAGAAUUGGAGCAAUUCUCUAAACCUGCUUUCCAUGGGGUUCUGCUUCACUGAGAAGGUUUGGUGUUUUAAAUUAUAUGGAAGUUUUUCUAGGAGCUUUAUAUGCUUGAUGGCAGAAAGCUGAAGAGUCUUUGGAUGUGAUCUGGACAAUCUUGCCACCAACAUUGGGCUGAAUAGUUGAUGUGAGGUCAGUUUUCCUGCAGUAUGACUGAGGGUUCAUGCCAUUUUGGUGAAUCCAGACCAUGUAUUUUAGAGUAAAGACCUAAGGUGUGGUUCUAAGUGCUCUCACCUAGCAUGCAAUUUACACAUCCAAGGAGGGUGAAGCUUUAUUUUGUAAUACUGCACCACGAGGAAUGCCUUGAUUUGGCAAGCCAUUGUUUAUGGUCACUCCUUAUACUAAGAAGAAAAAGUUUAGCCUUCUUUCUGAUAGAAGCCAGAAUGUCCUACAGACAUUCAAGAUCUGAAUAGCUGAAGAAGACAAGGCCAGAAAGUAACACAAUAUUAAGAUGGUGAUGGUACUCUGUUGUGUUUUACUUUUCAAAAUAUGGUAGGACCUUAUGUGACUGAAGCUAUCUCCCUUGAUGAAACUAACAUGCAAAAGACAUUGGGUACAUUUUUCAUUAUACCUUGCCAAUCAAAUUUCCCAUCCUGAUUUUUUUUGGUUAAAAAUUAAUUAAUCAAAGUGUGUCAUAUUUCUCAGAAGGUGAAUUUUUUACAUUUCUGAGCUUAAAGCCAAUAGAAAGCUGGCACUAAUAACUUAAAAGUAAGUCAACCCUUUAUGUCAGUGACUAUUCAGAUAUUAAAGUCACAUAAUAUGUAGAGGACUUUGAAGAAUUCAUUUUCUUCAGCAGGAAUAGUGGUCCCACAGAGAAUCCUCAUUUAUAACUAGUAUCUCAAAUCUUGUGGUUGUAAAAAUGUUACCUGUCGAAUUUUAAAAUCAGGCCAGAUUUAUAGUUGCUGCAGCAGCAAGGCUGGAUUUUUCUGGCAUAAUAAAUUUUAUCAAAUAAUUGUUCCAUAUCUUUUACAAAAAUUAUUACACUAGUUAAGUUUAGAAUUUCUUUAGGCAUGCUUGAGGUUAUGUUUAAUCACAUUUAACCUAAUUUGGGAAGGCAGUUCUACAUUUAAAUACAUUUUAUACAACAUACAAAUUCCCACAUUAGAUUAUAUAAGAUUUGAGACAUCUAUAACCCAAUACUGAUCUAAAUUCCCAAGCAAGAAUAUACUAAAUAUACACUUAAUUGCUUGUAAUUAUUUAAGCAUAUUGAAAACAUUAAAAAAUUGUGAAUAUCCUUGAACACUUGGAAAAAAUUUUGUAUACAUGUAUAUAUGAAAAUACAUAUAUUUUCACAUUUAAAUGGGCCUACAUGUCUAGAAAAUCUUUAUAAAAAAGGAGGACAUAUACAUUGGUUACAUAGAAAAUAGGUGCGUACUAGCUAAAUAUGUCAGUUAGUCCCCUGUGAAUUCUGCAUAAGCUGAAGAAACCACAGAGCGCAUUACAUGUAUCAUGUACUUAAGCAUUAUUAAUUUUUAAAACUUUCUUGGAAAACGUUUGGGCAAUAAAACUAAAAAUUAAUAACUUCUAAAACCAUAAAUUAUUAAGACGUCCAUUUCUUGCUACAUCAUAGUAGCUUUUAUCAAAUCAACUAUCACACUGAGACAACAAGAAAGCCUAGAUUGAAGAACAAAGAAAGAAAACCAGGACCUGAAAAGUCAAGGCUACAGAGAGAGCAUAGGCUGACCUUGUCUACUGUGCUUUCCCCUCUGUGUGUUUCCUGAGUGUGUCAGAGAAGCCAAGCAGAAAGUAGAGACUGAACAGUUUUAAAAGUCUCCUGGGAAAAAUUAUAAUCAAGGAAUAAAAAAGUCAGCUAGGCCAAGGCCCUGGAAAAAGGGUACCACAGAGAAGUGAAACCAACAUUGUAUAGACAUUUGGUGCUGCAGGUCAGUUGUCUGGGUGGCCUUGGAGUGACCUAGUUCUCUCCCUUUUCUUGCUUGGAGUUCUCAGGAACAGCUGUAGAUUGUGAUGGGAAUGCAACGUCUUGAGUUAGGGAGGAACUACUCUGGUACAGCCUUGGCUUUACUCCACUUUUCCCUGGAAGCCAGAUGUCUUUCAAAGAUUUGCCUGAUGAGUUACGUGCCUCUGAUGUAUAUAAUCCAGGGUGGGCUUCCUGUUGGGGUUCCUCAGCUGUAAUGCAAGUGGGACAUGCUCAGUUGAGACUUCACUUGCCCUGUGCAGCUUUGUUGAGGCAUGGAGGGAUUGGCUCACAACAGAUCCUAAGCUUCUUUUGUCUCUUGCUGCCUAUCUGUGAGUAAUAAAUCUGUUGCACAUAACUUGUUGUGUGUAUGUUUUGUCUCACCAGACUCAGACAAAUGGUAAUUAGUAAACCUGCUUUACAAAAUUGACAUAGUGAGUAGAGGCUGGUCUGAAAGAACCAUGGCUUAUGGGCAAAGUAGGGGCAGCAAAUAACCCCCAGGCUGGCACUGGGGGUUACUGCUCUACCCACUUUGCCAAUAAGCAUCAGCCUGGGCAAACAGGGGCUGGAUGUGCAGCUGGAUGUUUGAUCAGGAAAGAAGGGUGAUAAGGUAGGCAUAGGUCACCUCCCCCACCCAGAUGUGUGAGCUGGUUGCUGAUUGAGGCAGAGAGAGAGGAAUGCAGAAACAGGGGAGCACGGCACAGGAUCCCCUGGCUUUGGACACUUAUGUGACUGUUCAUUCCUGGCUAGAGAACUGGGAAAGUGAGUACUCAGAAGAACCCUGAAAGGGAACUAACACGUGUGCUAUGUGGGCCUUCACAGAAAGAGAGACUCAUUAUCUAAAGCAUAAAUAUAGAGAAAGGCCAGAGGAAUCUCAUGCAGCCUGGUUGAUUUUUUUUUUUUUUAAAUCAAGGGACAUUGCAAAUCCAAAUGUCUCAGGCAGAAUGGUACAGUUAGAAAUGGGGCCAGUCAGCCUGAGAAAUUAGGUUCUCAACUGGAGGUCAAUGCCAAUGUCCCUAUAAUCCUGUUAAAACAAGAGGAGAAAAGAAAGGAACUCGGACUUUUCUGGGGGCUCUUGGAUAUUAGAGCCCACAUAACAAUACUUCCAGGUCCCCUUAGGGGAAAAAUUAAACUGAUGACCUCAGGAGAAUUGGGGACAAAUAUGUGACUCGCAGUACUUAUUUGCUUAUGCUUGGGGUCCUUUGAGCCAUUUCAGGUGCCAGAGACUGUGGUUCCCAUAGCUGAGUACAUGAGAGUUGUGAGACAAAGUAGCAAGCAUCAUGCAUCCCUUAAAUAUAUACACCUACUAUGUGCCCACAAACAUAAAAAAUAAAAAGAAGCCAUGUGUAUAAGUCAGGGUUCUGUAGAGGGACAGAACUAAUAGGCGAUAUGUAUAUAUAGCCUAUUUUGUAUAUAUAUAUAUCACCUAUUAUAUAUAUAGGAGUUUAUUAAAGAGUAUUAAACUAAUACGAUCACAAGGUCCCACAAUAGGCCGUCUGCAAACUGAGGAGCAAGGAAGCCAGCCCGAGUCCCAGAGCUGAAGAACUUUAAGUCCUAUGUUUAAGGGCAGGAAGCAUUCAGCACAGGAGAAACAUGUAGGCUGGGAGGCUAAGACAGUCUAGUCUUUUCACAUUCUUCUGCUUGCAAUUUAUCCUAGUCAUGCUGGCAGCUGAUUAGAUUGUGUCCACCCAGAUUAAGGCUGAGUCUGUCUUUUCCAGUUCACUGACUCAAAUGUUAGUCUCCCUUGGCAACACCCUCACAGAUACACCCAGAAUCAAUACUUUGCAUCCUUCAAUCCAAUCGAGUUGACACUCAGUAGUAACCAUCACACUAUGCUCAUUUCUGCUUUCCAGCAUGAUUUCACAAAGCCCCUGACUCUGUGAUGAUGUGCAGCUCUCAGAAAGACGCUUUAAAGACAAAACAGGAUAGACCACUCCCACCCCCAUGCCUCUUGCCCUAGUCACUGUAUUCCUUAGAAGAUAAAUAAUCCUAGUCCUUUCCUCUUCUACAGAUAAGAUAAUGUCUGACAGGGUUAGUGAUUAUGCCUCUGUAAUCUAUAGCCAGAUGUACUCUUACACCCAAACCUUGAUCUGAUUCUGCUCUAAUAUAACUUCUGAACAAGUUUAAUACAAUUUUACAUGUACUAAACACUUACCAUCUCUAUAUAAGCAUUGGGCUAAAAUACUGUGCCAAACAGUCUAAUAAAAACCCUCCACAGGGCUGCCACCAGGCUAUAGGCCUUGGUCUAUAGUCCUCAAUAAAACUUAUAAAUAAAACCCACCGUAACUCUUUAAAAGCUUUUUUUUUCUUUAGUUGACAUACGCAUUGACACUCUGGCUGCUUGUGGAACAGAAUAUCACCACAUCAUAGCCAAGAAUUCGAGCCUAACAGUGGAACAUAUCCACUUCAGCCUGCCACCUAAGCUACCCAAGUCCCAAGUUUCUUCCGCAAAAGCAGUACUGCAAGCUAAGUGGAAAAUAGGGUAUUAUUUUGCUAAUUCAGGCCUUGCUACACACUACACUAUCACAAUGUAACAGCCUCUUCUGGCUGGUCAAAAAGGCCUUUGGGGCACAGAGACUAACAAUGGACUGUCCAGGCUGAAUGCCAGAGUCACUUGGGCAGGAUGCCAAAAAGGUAUUCCAGAGACAGUGAAAUAAAUAUUUUUAACCCUGGAGGUACUCACUAAUAAAAAGGAGGCCUAAUAGCUGGCAGGCAUCUUUGGGUACUAGAGACAGUAUGUACCCCACCUGGGUGUUCUGUUGGUCCCCUUAGUCAGGUGACCAGCAAAGCUACUAACUUUAAGUGGAACCCUUUGCAGCAGCAGGCUUUGGAAGCCAUUCAAUGAGCUGUGGCCCAGGCACUGACUUUAAAAGCUUUAAAGCCUGCUACCCUGAUGAAAUGACAUGUGUGCAUAACCACUCUGCAUGUGGAUUGGAGUCUGUGGCAACAGAAAAUUGCCAAUGGGGUGUGCAAGCCUCUUGGAGUUUGGACAUGUAAGUUGCCUGAGGCCGCCUGCAGAUACACCUCUUUUGAAUGACAACUCCUUGCUUGCCAUUGGACACUAAAGGAGACUGAGCAUCUUGUGACUGAACUGCCACAAAAGACACUGCAACUUGAACUGUCCAUUCUCACCUGGGCACUCACAAACCUUGCCAAUGAAAUUGGACAGGCUCAAUACAGCUCAAUGAUCAAAUGGAUAGGAUACAUUCAAAAGAUUGGGCUUAGCAGCCAAGAGACCAGUAGGCUCCAUGAGCAAGUGGCUAACUUGCCAGAAGGGACUAAACAACAUGUAGGGGAUGUUUUGGAUCCUCCUAUGGAUACCUGGGGCCCAAGACUGAGACGUGCCUACUGACAGUAUGACAUGGCUUGUUUACUGAUGGCUCUUCCAAAUGGCAAGCAGGCAGGGUUCCCUGGGCUGUGGUAGCCAUCUAGCCAGUGGAUAGGUAUCUCAUGGCUGAGACUGGACAUGGGCAUUUUGAACAAUGGGCCAAACUACAUGCAGUGGUGAUAGCCACAUAGACUUCCUCUACCACCCUAUCUUGCUACAUUUUCACUGACUCAUCAGCUGUUGCCAACAACCUAGACAUCUCGUCAGAAGAAAGGCAACUAAGUGGAUGGAUUAUUAAAGGACAAGUACUAUUACAAUAACUUGCUGUCUGGAAUGGGAAAGUAUAUAUGUCACUCAUGUGGAGGAUGGGACUAACAUAGCUUCUCUUAAAAGGAACACAUGUCAUGUUUUUGAUUACCCCACGGAACUUCACUCUGACCAAGGAAUGGUUACUACCCAAAUAACACAACAAUGUGUGCAUUCUCCUAAAAUACAAUGGACUUUCCAUACACUUUGUCAUCCUCAGGCCAAUGGAGCUGUUGAAUGGUGGUGGAGCCAACUCACAAAACAACUGAAGAAAUGACAUCAAGAUGGCCUGCUAAUGGAGUGACAACCCCUUCUGACUAGAGCAAUGUGGUCACUAAACACUGCACUCUAAUCCAAGGGAAACAUGGUACUGCAGCUCAAGUUGACAGAGCUUGGUGGAGGUGGAGGUGGACUAAGUAGCUGCCUGGAGGUUGACAGAGAUGCAGAGCUUGGUGGAGGUGGAGGUGGACUAAGUAGCUGCCUGAUUAGGCUGUGCCUGCAAAAUCCCAAUUCCAGUGUUCCAAACUAUGAUUUUUGUUCUUCCCCUUUACAGUGCAUGUCCUGGAGGGUGGUUUGCAGUUUAGGCCACCCUAGUACCCCAGACAAGGCUCCCUAACUUCAAGGUGAUACUUCUCCUGGGUUCUUCUCCUCUAUGGGAUUCCACAGAGGUGGAGAACAAGACCAAGGAAUACCAGGAUGCUAGGGUUCCCCUGGAGGCAGGGAGCGUUUAAUCCUUCCAGUAUAGUGGAUGUUAUCAGACAUGUCAAGUUAAUACAGGAUAUAACCUCCCUUCCUAGGCUGGAUGACACAGGCCCAAAGGUCUGGGUCAAGCAACAAGAAUAAUGAGUGAUCACAAAGGUAUUAGCCUUGGGACUGGGGCAGACAGAUGGGUUCACUACACCAACUCAGCCCAACCCUUAUGCAAUAGGUAGGGGAUACCUGAGAUCCUGGGAGGGUAGAGGGGUGGGAAACUAACUUGUUAAUCUGCUUUUUCCACGAGGACAGGGUAGUACAGGCCUAGAAAUAUAAUAUCAUUUUUAGGCUCUCCCAGACUGUGGCAAUGUGGAUAAUCUGAUAAAGUGUUGGAUCUUUCAUAUGGGCCUCAUUCUGUCACAGACCACAGUUACCUGCCAGUGAUAAAACCACACCAGCAUUCCUUAAUGCCACAGUGUACACUAACAGAACCUGAGCAGCCCUAGCUUAUUGAAUGAGGAUCUGGUACCUGUUGCAUGGGAGAGAGCAGAAGGUUCUCUGUUUUAACUUAUAACUGACUGUGUGGCAAAAUAUCACAACUAUAACUAAACAGAAUCUUGGUGGGCUUGUGCUCUGAUGCACUAAGCUCCUCUGAUUACAUGGAUCAGAAAUGUUACAGUGGUAAUAAAGAAAACAAGAACUGGACCAGUGCUAGUCCUCUGCAUAGGAGUUUCAUGAACAAUAUUAUAUGAAGGAAAUUGGGCUCAUGCAACUAUGCCAUCAAUGAGACUUGGCUGGGAAAUGUCAAUGCCUCUUUACCAAUGAGUGGCUCACUGAACAAAGAAACAAAGAAAGGGGUGCUGUGUGUGCCCAAGCGUUGCAUCUCUCUCUGCAGGUGGCUGGGGAUGGCCUAGAUACAGGAUAGACAAUGCCAUGCCUGUAAAGCUGGUAGCUGGUGGGAUCCUGCACAUUGGGUGUACUAGGGGUGCCCCUAGAUAUCACCCUGGGAAGGAGAUGCUCCAUUAGGCCAGUGGCCUUAAGCUUUUACACAGGCUUACUAGGAACCCACCAGGAGGUGGGAUUGACUUUGGGUUUAUGUCCUUUAUUAGAUCUUUGAUGUCACACAUGAGUUGGUACUCAUAAAAAAGUAGUAAGAACCCUGCCUCUGACCAUGCAGAUAUUGCUUUUCCACUGCCACUGUCUUGGAAGCCCUAGACAUCCCCCAGAUUCCUCAGGAAAGUUGUUUUAGACAGUGGAAUUGCCCGAGACUUUCUUUUAGCUCAAUUGAGAGGAGUGUAUGUGUUUGGCAAUUCCUACUGCUGUAGCUAGAUAAACACCUUAGGUACAGUAGAGACAUAAGUAGAGGAGAUCUGGAAGCAGGUCCACUGGCUACAAACAGUGGGGCUAUCUGAUAAUCCUUCUUUGCCUUUUUUUUUUAGCAACUUCUUACCUGAGACACUGGUAUCCUGGAUUAGGUCACUGCCUCAAGCAGGUCUGGCUGUCCUGCUAGUGGUGUAGUCCUUUGGGAUCCAGUAAAGGAUUUUCUGUCUGUUACUCAACAGUGUUGCACUGAGUUUGGGUCAGUCAAGGUGCUACAUCAGUCUGGCUAGAUAAACCUCUUCCUCCAGAUCCAGAGAGGUUGGUGGGCAUUUGAAAUGCACUGACUUUGCUACGAGAGAUGUCUGGCUAGAGGGGUAGACCUUAGGACAAUUCUCCAGGUGGCCUUGGACAUACCUAGUUAUCCCUGUUUCUUGCUUGUAGUUCUCAAAAAUAACUAUAGAAUGUGCUGGGAAUGCAACAUCUUGAGUUAGGGAGGAACUGCUCUGGUACAGCCUGGGCUUUACUCCUCCUUCCUGUGGAAGCGAGAUAUCCUUCAAAGCUUUGCCCAGUGAUCAUGCGGCCCCUGGGUUAUAUAACUCAGAACAGGCUGCCAGCUGUGUUUCCUCAGCUGCAGUGCAAGUGGGGCAUGCUCCGUUGAGACUUUAUUCACUCUGGGCAGUUUGUUGAAGAUUAGGUGGUCAGCUCACAAUGAAUCAUAAGCUGCUUUUGUCCCUUGCUGUCUAUGCUUAGAAGCUAAAAGGUUAAGCAGCGAUGUCAGCGCUAUCAGGGAGCUGUGGAGACUGGAAUUGAAGUUCAGAACCUUUCAUGGGAGACAGCUCAGCUCCGCAGUAGCUUUGAAAACAAGCAGCCCACAAUCAUGCUGACAGCCAGAAGUCUGGCAGACACUGGGAUUGAAAUAUAAUGUUGGAUAUUCUACAAAGCCUCAUUUCCAGAAAAUUGUGAUUAUUUAAACUGUCUCUCAAUUCCUGGAAAACUCCACUUACAAGACUGCCUUUAUUUGACCUGAUUUGGAGCUUGGGUAGUAUUAACAGCUUUAUCCUCAGGGGCAUUGGUUAAAAAAAGAAAAAAAAAAUCCAUGGGCAAAGUUUAACAUUAUGGCUCUGUGAGACAGUAGAUAACAUUAAAUCCAAACUAUAGAGUUUGGCAAUGAUGAACUUAGGCAAAGUAAGACGUUUGCAAGGUAAAUCUUAAGAAUGAGAUGUUUAUGAGGAGUUUGGAAAAACUUUGACUUAUUUCUAAAAAUCUACAUGGCUUGCUGCAUAUGUGUACAGCUCUAGGUAUGUCCAGAGUUGUGUGAUUGCUCUGGAAAUAUAUGAGAAAGUCCUAAGCUCUCACUUCUAAUUAACCUUGAGGCUUUGUGCAAACAAGAAGUAAAGGUGAAGUCAGAGUUGUAAACAAGUGGCUGAGUGUUUAAGAUGUUAUCUCAAUACACAUGCUAAGCUCCUUGGCAAAGAUUAGUUCCACACAUUUAAAAACACCUUUUUCUAACCAUUAGCUGACCAAAACACCAACCAAGCAGAAAUUUCAGUGGUCAUACUUUGUACCAUAUUUUAAAAAUUGACUCAAAAUGGAACUAACUAAAAAAAGAUUGGAGGCUGUAAUGUUGCAGCUAAAACUAUACAACUCUUAGAAGAAAAUAAGCAUAAAUCAUUUUGACAUUGAUUAAAACAAUGAUUUCUUAGAUAUGACACCAAAAGCAAAAGCA